AAGCUCGUAGUUGAAUUUCGGGCCUGGCCGGGCGGUCGGCUUAACGGCGUGCACUGUCUGGCUGGGCCUUACCUCUUGGUGAGCUGGCGUGUCCUUUAUUGGAUGCGUCGGGGAACCAGGACUUUUACCUUGAGAAAAUUAGAGUGUUCAAAGCAGGCCUAUGCCCGAAUACAUUAGCAUGGAAUAAUAAAAUUGGACGUUUGAUUCUAUUUUGUUGGUUUCUAGGAUUGACGUAAUGAUUAAUAGGGAUAGUUGGG
RNAcentral lists this ribosomal RNA (257 nucleotides) under uncultured Basidiomycota. RNAcentral describes it as "partial 18S ribosomal RNA". It matches the Rfam family "Eukaryotic small subunit ribosomal RNA", at positions 624 to 886 of the family's 1831-position model. Lineage: Eukaryota; Fungi; Basidiomycota. The record is from RNAcentral.